GAUGAAGAACGUAGCGAAAUGCGAUACGUAAUGUGAAUUGCAGAAUUCAGUGAAUCAUCGAAUCUUUGAACGCAUAUUGCGCUCUCUGGUAUUCCGGAGAGCAUGCUUGUUUGAGUAUCAGUAAACACCUCAACUUCCAUAUCUUUUUUUGAAAUGGGAGUUGGACUUGAGUGAUCCCAACGCUUUUCCUCACCGAAAAGUGGCGGGUUACUUGAAAUGCAGGUGCAGCUGGACUUUUCUCUGAGCUAUAAGCAUAUCUAUUUAGUCUGCCUAAAAAACAGAUUAUUACCUUUGCUGCAGCUAACAUAAAGGAGACUAGUUCUUAUGCUGACUGAUGCAGGAUUCACAGAGACAGCUUCGGCUGACUUUGUAAACUCGAUCUCAAAUCAAGUAAGACUACCCGCUGAACUUAAGCAUAUCAAUAAGCGGAGGA
This 433-nucleotide unclassified non-coding RNA is filed under the name soil metagenome. RNAcentral's name for it is "partial contains 5.8S ribosomal RNA, internal transcribed spacer 2, and large subunit ribosomal RNA". The stretch from base 1 to 120 matches the Rfam family "5.8S ribosomal RNA", at positions 35 to 154 of the family's 154-position model. The record is from RNAcentral.